GGCCCGGAGAAUGUUGAGAAUACUACGGGAGUUAAAACGAUGCGUUUUGCCGAUUUGUAUCUAGGGUUGACGUCUAUGUGGGACGUAGCAUUAUCACCUCGAUAUAUGAUAUAUAUAUGAAGUAAUCGUCAAACUGUAUGGUCGUGUUUUUUCUGUAUAACGACAGUCGAUUCAGACACGACAUCCACACAAAACCAAUCCG
Molecule: long non-coding RNA, 202 nt
Filed under: Mytilus galloprovincialis (Mediterranean mussel)
Lineage: Eukaryota; Metazoa; Mollusca; Bivalvia; Mytilida; Mytilidae
Source: RNAcentral